RNAcentral lists this ribosomal RNA (520 nucleotides) under Epilachna olivacea. RNAcentral's name for it is "partial 16S ribosomal RNA". It matches the Rfam family "Bacterial large subunit ribosomal RNA", at positions 1819 to 2612 of the family's 2925-position model. The record is from RNAcentral. Lineage: Eukaryota; Metazoa; Arthropoda; Insecta; Coleoptera; Coccinellidae.
CUCUUUUUGAUUAUAAUUUAAAGUUGGGCCUGCCCACUGAUUAUUUGAAGGGCCGCAGUAUUUUGACUGUGCAAAGGUAGCAUAAUCAUUAGUUUUUUAAUUGAAAGCUUGUAUGAAUGGUUUGAUGAAAAAAUGACUGUUUCAAUUUAAAUAAAAAGAAUUUUAUUUUUAAGUAAAAAAGCUUAAAUUUAAUUUAAAGACGAGAAGACCCUAUAGAGUUUUACUAAACUUAAAAUUUUUAUUUUUGGGAUUUUUCAUUAAAAAUUUUAAUUAAGUUUUGUUGGGGUGACAAAAAAAUUAAAUUAACUUUUUUUAUAUUAAAAUACUAAUUAGUAAAUUAUUGAUCUUUAAGUUAUGAUUAUAAGAUUAAAUUACCUUAGGGAUAACAGCGUAAUUUUUUUUGAAAGUUCUUAUUGAAAAAAGGGAUUGCGACCUCGAUGUUGGAUUAAAAUUAAUUUUUGGUGGAGAAGCUAGAAAAUUAGGUCUGUUCGACCUUUGAAAUUUUACAUGAUCUGAGUUU